RNAcentral lists this ribosomal RNA (391 nucleotides) under Mediodactylus kotschyi (Kotschy's gecko). RNAcentral's name for it is "partial 12S ribosomal RNA". The stretch from base 45 to 391 matches the Rfam family "Bacterial small subunit ribosomal RNA", at positions 875 to 1384 of the family's 1533-position model. Lineage: Eukaryota; Metazoa; Chordata; Lepidosauria; Squamata; Gekkonidae. The record is from RNAcentral.
GCUCAGCCCUAAACCCAGGCAGUUCCACAACCCCCUGCCCGCCAGAGAAUUACAAGCGAAAAGCUCAAAACUCAAAGGACUUGACGGUGCCCCAUAUCAACUUAGAGGAGCCUGUCCUAUAAUCGAUAACCCACGACACACCCCACCUGCCCUAGAACCCCAGCCUAUAUACCGCCGCCCCACCGCGUCCACCCCCCAACAGCACCCAUAGUGGACCCAAUAGCCCACUCCGCUAACACGCCAGGUCAAGGUGUAGCUAAUGCGCAGGAAGAGAUGGGCUACACUUUCUCCCACAGAACACACCAUCAGCGCUAUGAAAACACGCCCAACAGAUGGAUUUAAUAGUAAGCUAGGCAAUGAGUGCCAGCCUGAAACCCGCCCUGGGGCGCGU